Molecule: long non-coding RNA, 2880 nt
Organism: Triticum aestivum (bread wheat)
Lineage: Eukaryota; Viridiplantae; Streptophyta; Magnoliopsida; Poales; Poaceae
Exons: 3
Source: RefSeq, a predicted model, not a curated record
CAAGACCGGCAACCGAAGAUGAAGAACAGUUCGGAAGAAUCGAGGAGCGUCCCUAACUUGAAGACCGGUUCAGGGGGCUACUGACGGUGUCCUGGACUAGGGGGUACUCAACGCGUCGUCUCCCGAUCAGUUGGAUUGGGCCGAGGACCCCCAUGGCCGUAUACUCAUGGGCCAGUCCGGACAGCUGCCGCAUACAAAGAAGAAUCAACAAGACUUGGCGAUCAAGACAAGUACUCCUCCCUCACCGGCGUAUUCGGUUAGGACUCUUGUUAUCCUAGGCCUCUGGUGCAUUAUAUAAACCGGGGCCAGGCUAGUCGAUAGAUAUAGACAACAUCAAUCAUACCAUAGGCUAGCUUCUAGGGAUUAUCCUCUCUGAUCUCGUGGUAGAUCAACUCUUGUAAUACCCACAUCAUCAAUAUCAAUCAAGCAGGACGUAGGGUUUUACCUCCAUCAAGAGGGCCCGAACCUGGGUAAAACAUCGUGUCCCUUACCUCCUGUUACCAUUGAUCCUAAGACGCACUGCUUGGGAACCCCUACCCGAGAUCCGCCGGUUUUGACACCGACAGACAUUUUAAUUACCCAUGAUGCAUUUUCUUUUUGUUAACUUAUUUCAUUGUUCUCAUCUGCCAACAAAAUUCUCUAUUACGGUGCAAUUAUAAAGCUUAUACUUCAGUCAUUUCUGUUUUUUUGUAUCACAACAGUUUUGAGAUUGGCCUUGUUAUCAUUGUACAAGACAUCUUAGGUAAGAUCCCAUGUGCUGAUGGGUUAGUUUCUCAUGUAAACUCAUCUUUUAUGGUGUUCUGUGAUAAUCAUGGCAGACUAAAGAUAUGUUAUCUAUGCGGUAUAAUAGUACCAUUAAAAUUCAAGCUCCCUUUGGCAUUGUAACAGUGCUGUCUAAUUAUCAUGCAGCGCAAAUAUCUAACUAAAUUGCGCUAUGGAGCUUGCAUUGCUUUUAGUUUUGGACAUGAACAUAGAUGCCUCUGAUUAUUACCUUGGGACAUGGCUUUUGCCUUCGAAAUUUUUGUUAUUCUGAACUAUGCUUAUGGAUCUCAUUUAAUCAGGUGCACACACAUUUGCAGUGUUUAUCAACUAGUACAGGUCGCUGUCUGUCGUCUCUUUCUAUCUGCUCCUCCUCUCGUUGACUUGGCAUGCUGGUCCCUGCCGUGUCUCCCACUGGCUUGCCCCUUGCCAUCGUCAGGAGGGUUGUGUGGGCUGUUCUACAUUGGAAUCCAUAUUAACUAUGAAAAGAUCGCCACCAUGCCGUCUCUCUCUGUGACCGCCUCUCCCAACGUUUUGGUUUGUUGGUUGACGUUGUGUCUCCCGCCGCCAUUGCUGGAAGGGUUGUGUAGGCCGCCGCUCAUGCCACUACUCUAUAGUGACCAGUGAGGACCGUGGCAUCGAGAUAGCCCAAAAGGGAAACACCACCGGCCACGGCGCCGGUGGAGGCCUCCCCGUCUGCCGAUGACUGGAUACCACCGCCUCCGCCACUGCCAUUGUCUUUGUUGCUUCUUUGCUGGCCUUUGAUCAAGUCAAAGGCAACAGGAAGGCACAACGGCGAUCAAGGUCCUUAUGUACGCCGAGUACUAUCUUUUGUCUUGUGUGCAUCUUUAUAUAUGUCCAGGGCAUUGUGGCUAGAUUUAGUAGAGACAUGGUUACUAUUAGACCCAAGAUAUGUUAAUUGAACACAUGAUGACAAUCAUACAAACCAAGAACCUUGAGAUAGUACUUUAUUUCUAUGGUGUACUUGAAAUAAAAUUAAUCAUGCACUGGACUUGCACUAAUUAUGUUCAUGUAUGUGUUUUCGUGGGAAGCAAAACUCAUUUCUGUCAAAUUAGUGCAAGGUAACUAGACUCACCUUUGCAUAUAUAUUUUAGUUGAAAGAAAAUUGAACCAUAUAUGCUGGGUACCAAUAAAGUUAUCUACUGGUUCCUUCUGUUACUUUAUUCAGCUUCUGUUGUGUUUUUCACAAAAAAUAACUUAUGUUGCGUCUCUGUCCGGUUGAGUUGAGCAUAUGUAUACCUACCUCAGUCGGUGAGGUUUCUCUACCUUCGUUCUGUGACUCGAAUUGAUUUCUUUUCUAGGCUCUUUUACUGUAUCAUGUGUAUGUACCAUUGUUGCAUGUCUCUAAUUGUUUAUAUUGCUGAAAGCACAACCACUAAUACUAUGUUGUUGAUAGAUAAAACAUUUUAGAACCGCAUUGUUUAAGAAUUAAGAAAUUUAUGUCUCCGAUAUGGAAGUAUGUAUUAUGUUGUUGCCAAAUCUGGCAUUCUAAUUGUUGAUCCUUUUGUAGAAAAUAAGAUCCCAUGGUUAUUUGUGUUGUCACUUCGCAUGCGAAAAUAAUUAUGUGUGGUUUCAUGGACUCUUACCUUAUUGAUGGGCACCAGGCAGAGCCUGGGGAGAUGUAGGCCAGCGCUCCGCCUCUCUCACUUUCCAAGUCACCGUUGAGCCGCCUUCUUUGCUUCAGAGGCUUCUUGUGUCACCAUAGCAGAUCCGUGCAUCACAACAUGCAUGCAAAUCAAAAGAAGGAGUGUGGAGAAAGUUAUAUAUCAAGCAAAUUGGAUGAAGGCGUGUGGAUAAAGUUAUAUAUCCAAUAGCCAACCAUGUACUACUUUGGUGAUCUAAACGUUCUUAUAUUUCUUUACGGAGAGAGUAGUUUGUUGUGCAAUAUGAAAAACAUUGUAAAUAAGUUAUCUGGGACUAAUACUAUGGCCUGCUUUUUGGUUUCUAUCAUACCAGACCUUGCUCAGGUGUUUCAUGUCACAUUGUAUAACAAAUGCGCCAAUGGCAUGUAGAUAGGGCCAUUUUUUUACUGUUGUGAGUAUCUACCAUCAGGUACUCUUUGAGUAAUAUCAUAUAUAUUUCCAGAGAUAUAUUGAGCAA